RNAcentral lists this ribosomal RNA (226 nucleotides) under uncultured bacterium. RNAcentral describes it as "partial 16S ribosomal RNA". It matches the Rfam family "Bacterial small subunit ribosomal RNA", at positions 28 to 253 of the family's 1533-position model. The record is from RNAcentral.
GACGAACGCUGGCGGCGUGCUUAACACAUGCAAGUCGAGCGGUAAGGCCCUUUCGGGGGUACGACGAGCGGCGAACGGGUGAGUAACACGUGGGUGACCUGCCCUCAGCUCUGGGAUAAGCCUGGGAAACCGGGGUCUAAUACUGGAUAUGACUCCAUGACGCAUGUUGUGGGGUGGAAAGCCUUGUGCGGCUGAGGAUGGGCCCGCGGCCUAUCAGCUUGUUGGU